RNAcentral lists this ribosomal RNA (497 nucleotides) under uncultured bacterium. RNAcentral describes it as "partial 16S ribosomal RNA". It matches the Rfam family "Bacterial small subunit ribosomal RNA", at positions 28 to 523 of the family's 1533-position model. The record is from RNAcentral.
GAUGAACGCUGGCGGCGUGCUUAACACAUGCAAGUCGAACGAAGCACCUUAUUCUGACUUCUUCGGAAUGAAAAAUUUGGUGACUGAGUGGCGUACGGGUGAGUAACGCGUGGGUAACCUGCCUCAUACAGGGGGAUAACAGUUAGAAAUGACUGCUAAUACCGCAUAAGACCACAGCACCGCAUGGGUCAGGGAUAAAAACUCCGGUGGGAUGAGAUGGACCCGCGUCUGAUUAGGUAGUUGGUGGGGUAACGGCCUACCAAGCCGACGAUCAGUAGCCGACCUGAGAGGGUGACCGGCCACAUUGGGACUGAGACGCGGCCCAAACUCCUACGGGAGGCAGCAGUGGGGAAUAUUGCACAAUGGGGGAAACCCUGAUGCAGCGACGCCGCGUGAGCGAUGAAGUAUUUCGGUAUGUAAAGCUCUAUCAGCAGGGAAGAAAAUGACGGUACCUGACUAAGAAGCACCGGCUAAAUACGUGCCAGCCGCCGCAGUAA